RNAcentral lists this ribosomal RNA (406 nucleotides) under uncultured bacterium. RNAcentral describes it as "partial 16S ribosomal RNA". It matches the Rfam family "Bacterial small subunit ribosomal RNA", at positions 30 to 526 of the family's 1533-position model. The record is from RNAcentral.
AUUGAACGCUGGCGGCAGGCCUAACACAUGCAAGUCGAACGAGUGGCGGACGGGUGAGUAAUGUCUGGGAAACUGCCUGAUGGAGGGGGAUAACUACUGGAAACAGUAGCUCAUACCGCAUACCAUCGGAUGUGCCCAGAUGGGAUUAACUAGUAGGUGGGGUAAAGGCUCACCUAGGCGACGAUCCCUAGCUGGUCUGAGAGGCUGACCAGCCACACUGGAACUGAGACACGGUCCAGACUCCUACGUGAGGCAGCAGUGGGGAAGAUUGCACAAUUGGCGCAAGCCUGAUGCAGCCAUGCCGCGUGUAUGAAGAAGGCCUUCGGGUUGUAAAGUACUUUCAGCGAGGAGGCGUUACUCGCAGAAGAAGCACCGGCUAACUCCGUGCCAGCAGCCGCGGUAAUAC